Molecule: ribosomal RNA, 1390 nt
Filed under: uncultured bacterium
Lineage: Bacteria
Description: 16S ribosomal RNA
Rfam family: Bacterial small subunit ribosomal RNA
Source: RNAcentral
UUCGCCCUUAGAGUUUGAUCCUGGCUCAGGACGAACGCUGGCGGCGUGCUUAACACAUGCAAGUCGAACGGACACCAUCGGGUGCUUGCACCUGAGAAGUGUUAGUGGCGGACGGGUGAGUAGCGCGUGAGUGACCUGCCUACAAGAGGGGGACAACAUCUGGAAACGGGUGCUAAUACCGCAUGAGACCACGGUGCUACAUGGUACUGAGGUAAAAGAUUUAUCGCUUGUAGAGGGGCUCGCGUCCCAUUAGGUAGUUGGUGAGGUAACGGCCCACCAAGCCAACGAUGGGUAGCCGACCUGAGAGGGUGAUCGGCCACACUGGAACUGAGAGACGGUCCAGACUCCUACGGGAGGCAGCAGUGGGGAAUAUUGGGCAAUGGAGGCAACUCUGACCCAGCAACGCCGCGUGAGGGAAGAAGGUUUUCGGAUUGUAAACCUCUGUCCUUGGGGACGAAAAAAAUGACGGUACCCAAGGAGGAAGCCCCGGCUAACUACGUGCCAGCAGCCGCGGUAAUACGUAGGGGGCGAGCGUUGUCCGGAAUUACUGGGCGUAAAGGGUGCGUAGGCGGUUUACUAAGUUGGAUGUGAAAUACCCGGGCUUAACUUGGGGGGUGCAUUCAAAACUGGUAGACUUGAGUACAGGAGAGGGAAGCGGAAUUCCUAGUGUAGCGGUGAAAUGCGUAGAUAUUAGGAGGAACACCAGUGGCGAAGGCGGCUUUCUGGACUGUAACUGACGCUGAGGCACGAAAGCGUGGGGAGCAAACAGGAUUAGAUACCCUGGUAGUCCACGCUGUAAACGAUGGAUACUAGGUGUAGGGGACGAACGUCCUCUGUGCCGCAGCAAACGCAGUAAGUAUCCCGCGUGGGGAGUGCGGCCGCAAGGCUGAAACUCAAAGGAAUUGACGGGGGCCCGCACAAGCAGCGGAGCAUGUGGUUUAAUUCGAAGCAACGCGAAGAACCUUACCAAGGCUUGACAUCCUCUGACGCAUGUAGAGAUACAUGUUUCCUUCGGGACAGAGAGACAGGUGGUGCAUGGUUGUCGUCAGCUCGUGUCGUGAGAUGUUGGGUUAAGUCCCGCAACGAGCGCAACCCUUAUGGUUAGUUGCCAGCACGUAAAGGUGGGAACUCUAAUCAGACUGCCGGGGACAACUCGGAGGAAGGUGGGGACGACGUCAAAUCAUCAUGCCCCUUAUGUCUUGGGCUACACACGUGCUACAAUGGCCGGUACAAAGAGCAGCAAGCCCGCGAGGGGGAGCGAAUCUCAAAAAGCCGGUCCCAGUUCGGAUUGUGGGGUGCAACCCGCCCACAUGAAGUCGGAGUUGGUAGUAAUCGCGAAUCAGCAUGUCGCGGUGAAUGCGUUCCCGGGCCUUGCACACACCGCCCGUCA